RNAcentral lists this ribosomal RNA (500 nucleotides) under uncultured bacterium. Its description in RNAcentral is "partial 16S ribosomal RNA". It matches the Rfam family "Bacterial small subunit ribosomal RNA", at positions 28 to 523 of the family's 1533-position model. The record is from RNAcentral.
GAUGAACGCUGGCGGAAUGCUUUACACAUGCAAGUCGAACGGCAGCACGGACUUCGGUCUGGUGGCGAGUGGCGAACGGGUGAGUAAUGUAUCGGAACGUGCCCAGUCGUGGGGGAUAACGUAGUGAAAAUUACGCUAAUACCGCAUACGAUCUAUGGAUGAAAGCGGGGGAUCGCAAGACCUCGCGCGAUUGGAGCGGCCGAUAUCAGAUUAGGUAGUUGGUGGGGUAAAGGCCCACCAAGCCAACGAUCUGUAGCUGGUCUGAGAGGACGAACAGCCACACUGGAACUGAGACACGGUCCAGGGUCCUACGGGAGGCAGCAGUGGGGAAUUUUGGACAAUGGGCGAAAGCCUGAUCCAGCCAUUCCGCGUGCAGGAUGAAGGCCCUCGGGUUGUAAACUGCUUUUGUACAGAACGAAAAGGUUUCUACUAAUACUAGGAGCUCAUGACGGUACUGUAAGAAUAAGCACCGGCUAACUACGUGCCAGCAGCCGCCGUAA